AUUGAGACUUGUAUGAAUGGCUAAACGAGGUCUUAACUGUCUCCUGUAGGUAAUCUAUGAAAUUAGUAUUCCCGUGCAAAAACGAGAAUGUGAGCAUAAGACGAGAAGACCCUGUGGAACUUUAAAAUCACGACCACCUUACAACCUUACACAGCCCCACUGGGUCCACCCACACAUAAACCCCUGGUCGACAUUUUUCGGUUGGGGCGACCUUGGAGAAAAAAAAAUCCUCCAAACCCACAGACCACAACUCUUCACUAAGACCAACUCCUCAAAGUACCAACAGUAACCAGACCCAAUAUAAUUGAGCAAUGGACCAAGCUACCCCAGGGAUAACAGCGCAAUCUCCUCCAAGAGCCCAUAUCGACAAGGAGGUUUACGACCUCGAUGUUGGAUCAGGACAACCUAAUGGUGCAACCGCUAUUAAGGGUUCGUUUGUUCAACGAUUAACAGUCCUACGUGAUCUGAGU
Molecule: ribosomal RNA, 470 nt
Filed under: Gallus gallus (chicken)
Lineage: Eukaryota; Metazoa; Chordata; Aves; Galliformes; Phasianidae
Description: partial large subunit ribosomal RNA
Rfam family: Bacterial large subunit ribosomal RNA
Source: RNAcentral